This is a non-coding RNA of Corylus avellana, 468 nucleotides long. Lineage: Eukaryota; Viridiplantae; Streptophyta; Magnoliopsida; Fagales; Betulaceae. The record is from RefSeq and is a predicted model, not a curated record.
GUUGUAAGUCUCGCAACUGCCUGCCCGUCCCUUCCAGUUGCCCCGCGUGCUAGUCGGCGAGGACUCCACUUCUCUGAUGGUCUUUGUGCUCAUAAAUCACAACGUUAGAUUUGGGGUGGAUUUUUAGUGGUGGUUUGUGAUGUUGGAUUCGUGAUGUUGGGUGGAUUUCCUGCUCUUCAGAUGUAGCAGCAGCUUAGCUCUUGUUACUGGAACUCAACUGCGUAGGCCAUGGGAUUUCUUCGUUGAUAGUAGCAUAUUUGCCAUUUGAGCGGCUGGGUCAGAUUAUCCUCACCCGUAUUUUGCUCUAUUAUUCCUCUGCAUAACAAUCUGGCUUUGUUACUCCCCUCUUAGCUUGUUUUGUGCGAAUAUUGUUUAUUGUUUAAGCCUUGCCAGUUGGAUUUUAAGCAUCUGGAUUUUCAUCUUGUGAUGGAACAGAAAUAGCAAAAGCGUUGUAUCAUUUCUUGUUCA